Molecule: ribosomal RNA, 250 nt
Filed under: uncultured bacterium
Lineage: Bacteria
Description: partial 16S ribosomal RNA
Rfam family: Bacterial small subunit ribosomal RNA
Source: RNAcentral
UACGGGGGGUCCAAGCGUUGUUCGGAAUCACUGGGCGUAAAGCGCAGGUAGGUGGCUUUUCAAGUCUGUUGUGAAAGCCCAGGGCCUAACCCUGGAAGUGCAGUAGAUACUGUUAAGCUUGAGUAUGGGAGAGGAUAGUGGAAUUCCUGGUGUAGUGGUGAAAUACGUAGAGAUCAGGAGGAACACCGGUGGCGAAGGCGGCUAUCUGGCCCAAUACUGACACUGAGCUGCGAAAGCGUGGGGAUCAAAC